RNAcentral lists this ribosomal RNA (172 nucleotides) under uncultured bacterium. Its description in RNAcentral is "partial 16S ribosomal RNA". It matches the Rfam family "Bacterial small subunit ribosomal RNA", at positions 338 to 524 of the family's 1533-position model. The record is from RNAcentral.
CCUACGGGAGGCAGCAGUGGGGGAUAUUGCACAAUGGAGGAAACUCUGACGCAGCGACGCCGCGUGAGGGAAGAAGGUCUUCGGAUUGUAAACCUCUGUCUUCAGGGACGAAGAAAGUGACGGUACCUGAGGAGGAAGCCACGGCUAACUACGUGCCAGCAGCCGCGGUAAU